RNAcentral lists this long non-coding RNA (378 nucleotides) under Homo sapiens (human). RNAcentral's name for it is "non-protein coding lnc-STX11-2:1". The record is from RNAcentral. Lineage: Eukaryota; Metazoa; Chordata; Mammalia; Primates; Hominidae.
UGAAGGACAGUUCUGACUUUCCUUCAAAUCUCAUGCCGUUGUUGAUGCUCGUCUGGUGGAUUUGUACCUGAGAAGGGAUGUUUCGGGAGGGAUUUUAGGCUUCUGUCUGCUGUGUGAAGCCGAGGGGGUUUUGUGAAUAUUCUGUAAGAGAUGUGACGCCUGUGGAUGAAAGCAGACAGAUCAGGCCGACCUUGGCUUGGAGUCUAAGUUUUAGAGACAGAAAACAGGGAGGGGGUGAAGGAGAGGGGAAAUGGGAGGAGGAGAAGGAGGAGGGGUGCCAGGAUCAUUUCUUUUCCUGUUACGCAUUUUCCUUUUGGCGGGAGAGAGUGAGAAAGCUCCUGAAUGUAACUGGAGCUGCUGAACUGAACUGGUCAGAAC